This 1840-nucleotide long non-coding RNA is filed under the name Diabrotica virgifera virgifera (western corn rootworm). RNAcentral's name for it is "uncharacterized LOC126890467". The record is from RNAcentral. Lineage: Eukaryota; Metazoa; Arthropoda; Insecta; Coleoptera; Chrysomelidae.
UUCAUCAUUAAAGUAUUUCCGUUUCCCAAUGAAACACUCUGUAUAAAGCUUUUUAAUGACUACUUAAAUGCGCUAUCAGCUGAAUCGUUUAAACUACUUCAGGAAAAUACCAAUAUUAGAAGUAAUUAUAAAAAAUUGACAGAAUGUAUUUUGGCUAAGACGGUGAUUUUUAACCGUAAAAGAGUAGGGGACGUGCAGUAUUUAACAGUAGAAACCUACGGGAGGAACUACGAUACACUUAAUCAAGAAAGUUUUACAGAGGCACUCACUGAAGUUGAAAAGAUUAUAUAUAAAAAUCAUAGGCGUUUUGUAACUGGAGGUAAAGGCUCAAAACCUGUUCCAAUUUUAUUUUCAUUCCAGACGCAAAAAUACAUUAGCCUUUUACUAAAAGUCAGACAAGAAACCAAUGUUGUACCAGAAACCAAUCCAUAUCUUUUUGUGCAAAUCCUGAUUCCGAAGAUCGCUGGAUGUCUGGCGCAAACACAAUUAGAAAGAUAGCUAUUAAUUGUGGAGCCAAACAUCCAGAACUAUUGACAUCAACUAGAUUUUGGAAACAAAUUGCCACGACUCUGCAAUUAUUAGCCCUCGAUGAUGACGAAAUGGAACAAAUCGCCACUUUUAUGGGACAUACAAAGAAGACACAUACCGAGUUUAACAGGUAAUGUCAACUUUAAGAGUAUGCAUGCACUGUUAAUUUUGGUUAGGAUUUUUUUAAACUUUUUAUGCUUGAUAUGAUAUAUCAUACAUAAUGUAAUAGAAUUAGCAACAAUGGUAAAGUUUCGAAAAGUUUACUUUAAAGGUAUCUCGUACACAAAAUAUUUCAAAAAGCUUUCUUUGAAAAAUAGUUAAAACCGGGUUUUAAUUGUUCCUUGUCCGAACUUAGCAAAACGCGUGUUGAGUCUAAAUUUGUUUAAUGAAUAAACAUUUCUUUUUAAAAUUUACCAGCAUAUUUUCUUUCAGCCUUUCCGAUAUAUUUGAAUGCGAUAUAUGAAAAAUCGUUAUUUCCCCUUUAAUAUUCGAAAAUCGUUGUUAGAAUGUAUGCUUCAUAAAUCCGUAUUUAAAAUAAAUUAUUGUUCUAUUAGACUCUCACUGUUUCCGAUAAGGUAAAUUCGAUGGAUACCUAAACCAUGUAUCUACAUAGACAUUUAAAUCGUUUUAAAAUUAAUAAAAUACUUUUAGACUACCGCAAGAUAUCUACCAGACUGCUAAAGUAGCAAAGAUUCUUUUACUUAUGGAAAAAGGCAAGGGAAAUCGGUACCGAGGAAAAAAAUGAAGUGAAAUCAAUAUAGAUGAUAACGAAUACUAUAGCUCUGAAUACGAAGGCGAUGAAGAACCGAUUAUGCAGAAGGUGCUAAAGCGGGUUACAAGGGGAAAAAACCUGAAGACGAAUUAGAUGGAGAUUCUGACAGAUAUGUGCAUCAGUCAACGGAACGUGAUCAACAUAAUGAAAACACAUUAUCAAGAAAUUAUUUUAAAAAGGCGACUAGGCCGUUUCACGAAUCUAACGAAGAAAAUAGUGAAGAACCACCAACAAAAAAAACUAAAGAAUCAACCACGAAAUCCAUCCAGAGAUUCAGAGCCAAAUGGUCAGAUAAUGAAAAACAAGUUUUACUUCAGUACUUUGAAAAACAUAUUGAAAAAAAAAUUACCCCUCGGAAACAUGAAUGUGACGAACUACUGAAACUACAUCCACACGUGUUCGAAAAUAAGGACUGGGUCCGAAUAAAAACAUAUGUGUAUAAUACAUUCCGUGAAAGGAAGUGAUUGCUUAUUUUUAUUUUUACUGAACCACAUACUCGUAAUAGAUUAUUUUUAGUUCCAAUAAAUUACUUUUAAAUAA